Syngnathus acus (greater pipefish) is the source of this 255-nucleotide long non-coding RNA. RefSeq lists it as uncharacterized. The transcript is spliced from 3 exons. Lineage: Eukaryota; Metazoa; Chordata; Actinopteri; Syngnathiformes; Syngnathidae. The record is from RefSeq and is a predicted model, not a curated record.
AGGAUGCCGAGAAGUUCUGUGUUGCCCAGAGUGGCCACCUGGCUAGCGUCCACUCAUGGCAAGAGGCUCAAUUCGUGUUUGAUCACUCGCAAAGCGUUUGGUAUUCUUGGCUGGGACUGAAGAAGAAAAGCAACAACUAUGAGUAUAGUGACGGAACAGCUUUCGACUAUGCCGAGUGGCAAAAUGACACCACGGGGGACUGCGCAUUCCCAAAUUCUGUUGGGAAGAUCGGCGGCAGCCCCUGCACAACAAAGC